UGGGGGAUAGCUCGCCGAAAGGCGAAUUAAUACCGCAUGUGAUCAGAGGAGACAUCUCUUCGACAUCAAAGUUGGCGCAAGCUAACGCUUCUUGAUGAGCCCGCGGCCUAUCAGCUAGUUGGCGAGGUAAUGGCUCACCAAGGCAUUGACGGGUAGCUGGUCUGAGAGGACGACCAGUCACACUGGAACUGAGACACGGUCCAG
RNAcentral lists this ribosomal RNA (204 nucleotides) under uncultured bacterium. RNAcentral describes it as "partial 16S ribosomal RNA". It matches the Rfam family "Bacterial small subunit ribosomal RNA", at positions 137 to 334 of the family's 1533-position model. The record is from RNAcentral.